UCCAACACCAUCUGACCACGGCUCAGCGGAGGACGGGACGUUACGCAACAAACAACCUCACAGGAGACGCUCUUUUCCCUGGAACAGAACUCCAGUUUUUAUCCCUAAAUAAACCCGUGAAGGUUUUUUCAAAAUAUCUGCUUUAAGAGUUUUAUUUUCCAACUGAAAUAUAACAAGAGUUUGCAGCGAUGAACAUGUUGAAUUAACUUUAUUUGUCUCCAUCUUUGAUGACAGAACAGAAACAGAGUAACAGGCGUCGACACAUUAAACAGAAUAAAAAACACGUCAAAAUCAAAACAAUAAAAACUUUGACAUUCAGAUAAAUGAAGAUUUAAUUAAAACUUUUUCAUUUAAUGUACAGGCAGACGAAGAGAGAGACGUCUUUACACUUAGAAAACACUCAGAACUGACAUUUCCCACUCUGCCGAGGUUCCUGAACGCAUCAGUCACAGAAAAAUAAAGAUCUUCCCUUAUUUAUGUUGAGACCAUGGACUGUAUCGAGAAUAGACGCCGUCUGACUCCUCGCUGGGUGAGAACAGCGCCCUCUGGUGACGGGCUGCAGUGUAGGUCAUAAGCCCCGCCUCCUCCAUCAAACUUUAUAAAUGAAUGACACAGAAUAUAAAUGUUUCUCCCUCCUGGUUGUGAUGUUGACAUGUAGUUACUGUCAGACUGGUUUGUGCUCAAGUCCUCUUUUUUCUGUACAGCUCCAUUUUUAAAAGUUAUUAGGGGGUUCAUGUUUUCUAUGAUUGACACCUGAUACAGCCUAUGGGAGGACAGAGAUUGCACAUACUUUAUUUGAGCUGAGCAUCAUCACAGUGACUCUCCCACCAAAUGUGUACAACGUUACUGCACAAUGCUGGCUUCAGGAAAGGGAGAAAAAUCGUGGAAAUAAUUUGAGUAAUUUCGGCUUCACAUUCGUACAAUGACGGGAGGCGGAGCCCGUAGUAAAUACAGUCUAUGGUUGAGAUGAAUGACACGCAGAGUUGGACCAGAAAACUUCAGUUUCAUCUUUUAAUGAUAUAUCUGUCUGUUUUUUUAGUUUUUGCAGUUUUAAAGGCACUGAGUAGAAGCGGCCCGGCUGUUAGCUCCUCAAGUCCAAAAACCGUCAUCGGAGCAGAAGGCGGCGCAAACACGGUUAUUUUAGGCUAAAAAGGCACGACAAGUUUCUACGAGAGUCAAGCUAAAUAAGCUCGAAAUAAAACAGGCACUGACAGAGGAAAACCUAGCUAAACACAGUCAGAAGCUAACGUUAGCAUUAGCAUCUUUGGUUUUAGCGCUGAGGUCAUGUUAAAUUUAUAUCUGCAUGAGCUGGAGAUGGUUUAGUGACUUUAGUUCGUCACACAGAUAAAGACGAAGGAGGGGAAAUUAUGAGGAGGAGAGCAGAGAUGGUGUGAUGCUAGCUCCUGUAGGUGAUAUUCUUUUCAUAGAAUGGCAGGGGAAGGUCCCGCCUCCUUCUUCUCUGAUUGGCUGUAAGUGUAACGUCAUCGUCUGUAAUGUUCUUAAUGUUCUGUUCGAUGUACAGAGCCAACAGCCCGCACUCAGCUAGAGCGUGUGAUGACGUUUCACAGCCAUAAGGAAUAACCAAUCAGGGCCCAGCUUUUCUAGCCAAUCAGAGGCAAAGGAGGCGGGACCUUCCCCUACAAUCGUACAAAGAAAGAUAUCACCUCCUGUAGCUACAGCAAGUAUCUUGACUGAAGUUUGUGUUCACUGAGAGUUAAUCAGGUAAUAGUAAAACUUUUUAUUUUGCGCACAAGAUACAACUUUGUUCAAACAAGAUAUGAACUCGUGCUCACGAGGAAAUAACCUGUUUGAACAAAAUAAAGAUAUUCUGGGAAAAGAUGUCCCAACAAGAUCACUCUGCUGUACACUCUCUCAAGGUUAUCUGCUCGCUUCUAUAAGAUAUCUAAAUGUGCGCUCAAGAUAAAUCUUGUUCCCAUGAGUCAAAUAGGAUAAUCGGGUUUUAGUCGCACAAGAUGAUUGAGUUUUUCCCUAAAAGAAAUGACUGUUGUGAAGAUGAGGUAAUAAUAUCUUGUUGCUCAGCGGAUAUCAUGUCUGAUAAUUAUCUUGAUAAAUAUCUUCAUUAUCUGACAUGGAAACAUGAUCCUGCUGAAUGACUUUAGCGAACAGGAUCGUGUCUCCCUGAUCAGAUAAUUGAUCUAAUUUCGCUGUUUCUGAUUGGUCGACUGUCCUCACACUCAGGAUUUAGUUCUGGUUCAGAUUUUCAGAGUUCGGAUCAUGUUGGAGAGACGCUCUCUCGCUGUAACCUCCGUCACUAAAACAAAGACGGGUCUGUUAGGGGGGGAAAGUGUGCAGUCAGCAGGGUCAAAGGUCACCGCCUCUCCUCUGUUUACAAUGUGAGGAAACUGAGGCGAACAGACACUGACUGACCGUUCGAACAGCUUUCAGGACGUCGCCCAUCCCCGAGGACGCGUUAACGCCGAGCUGCAGCAGCAGCAGCGGCGGCGGUGGAGCCGGCGGUCAU
This 2482-nucleotide long non-coding RNA is filed under the name Xyrichtys novacula (pearly razorfish). The record is from RNAcentral. Lineage: Eukaryota; Metazoa; Chordata; Actinopteri; Labriformes; Labridae.